Molecule: non-coding RNA, 28 nt
Filed under: Mus musculus (house mouse)
Lineage: Eukaryota; Metazoa; Chordata; Mammalia; Rodentia; Muridae
Source: RNAcentral
UGAGCCUCCCAUUUUUGACAAUGCUGCU